RNAcentral lists this long non-coding RNA (5944 nucleotides) under Homo sapiens (human). Its description in RNAcentral is "non-protein coding lnc-KCND3-4:1". Lineage: Eukaryota; Metazoa; Chordata; Mammalia; Primates; Hominidae. The record is from RNAcentral.
AAGCCACAAAUAAAUCAAAAAAGAAAAAUAUAUCAAGUCCAGGAAACAGAAAAUCUAACAUGGUUCAAGAGCCACUGACUCCUGCAGUGGAGUCGAUGGCUUUUAAAUAUGACUGCACCUUGGUAUAAUCUAUGUGAGGGAAGGAAGAGGGAUGAAUUUACUUACUAAUCUCUUGAUCACACCGGUCAAAAGUUCACCUAAAGGGAGUUAACUUCUCUGCAGUUCUGGGUUGUGCAGGAUGGGCACUGAGCAAGUCCCAGCUGAUCCCUUCUAAGCUUUGCCUCAAACCGUGGGCUGCUGGAGGACACCUGAAGGGAAGCCACAGUGCAGGAGACUCAUCCUCAUUCUCAAAAGAUAAUUUCUUGAGGUGUGGAAGUCAAAUCAUUCUCUUAGCACAUUGAAGAUAUUAUAUUACUGUUUUCUGGCUUCUACUGUUACUGCUAAAAAGCCAGUCAUUGGUCUAAUUAUCAUUCCUUUGAAUGUGAUCUGUCUUUUCUCUUUGAAAGUAUAAAUAUUUCUUACUUUAAAGUGCGUGAAUCAUAAAUAUACAGUCUACUAAAUUUUUACAAAGUAAAUGCACCCCCGGGGAGAAAAGCAGAAGAGGGAGGCAUAAAGAGUCACACUCAGCAGCUACAGAGAGGGAGGCAGAGUAGAAACAGGAAAGAAGCCACACUGGUGGCAGCAAAUAAGAAGUUUUGGUGACCUUGACUUGACCCUUUUAAAGAAUGACAAGUGCUUGGCAAUGAUCACAUGCAGUCAAGGGAAGCCUGCCUGUGGGUACCUGCUGGUCAGGGCUCUAGAAAUGAGAGGCAAAGGAGAGGCAGAGGCUGAGGCAGGGGGAAAGUCUAAUGUUUAGCUCAAAGGAAAGAGGACUUUGGAGAAUUGAGAUAACAACUAUCAACUCUGGACUUGUGAUAAUUGAGAUAGCCAUCAACUCUGUGCCAAGGGAGAGGGGUGGAGAGUGGCAGACAGAGCUGGGAUCUAGGGGGAAUAAAUCAGUGGCAGGUUUAGUUUAUCCUAAGGCACAACUUUCGGGUGGGAAGACCAGUCCAGCUGCCAACAGGUCAGCCUCAGUGGUGCUGGGCUUCUUGAAGUUUGGGAGACUGGUUAAUUGGUUUAUUCAACCAGUACUCACCUCAUUGUCAUUAUAUGCAGGUAGUGUGGACAACGCUGCCCUUGGAGAACUCACAGGCAAGUUGGGACACUGGACAAUAAAAAAUUAAAUGUACCAUUACAAGUUGUGAAAUGGUCUAUAGAAGAAGAGAAAAAGGAUAGCAUGAGAAUAAAGGGAGGAAGGAUGGAAGCAAAGAGAAAAAGAGAGUCUGGUGUAGAUUAAGGAGGUAGGGGUAAAUGACUGGCAUUUCUGUUUUAUCAGUCUCCCCACUUGAUCUCUAAUUCAAUCCAUGAAAAUGGUAGGAGCUUCUUUGCUGAGGCCUGCCCCCCUCCUCCUACCACAGCAGAAUGGAAGCCUGGCACCACUUAAACCAGGUAAUGGCACUGAGGGGGAAGCCCUACCAAGCCCUAUCACUUCAUGGUGAGUGCCUGUUAGUGCUGGGUAUGUUCAGAUAUCUUAUUCUGUCCUCCAGAACUGAGCAGAGGUGUUAUUUCCCCCUGUUCUUAUGGAUGAAGAAACCAAAAUUCAGUGAGGUUAGGUGGGUUAUGCAAAGUCAUUAAGUCAAUACACAUUUUUUAAUGCCCACUUCAUAAGUGACCACGCUGGGAAUGGAGCCCAUUCUGGUAAGUGGAAGCAGGUGGAGACAGUGCAGGAGGACUAUGGAGGACAGUUCUCUGCUGGGUGGAGUUCAGGCCUCAUGGCCAUUGAAGUUCCAUCUGCCCUGAGAUCAUGCAUAUCCUCCUAUGCGUAUACCUGAGUCAGCACCACAGGUCCCACACGCAGGAUCCCAAUGGGGAGAGAAUUUUAAGGUAAAGAACACCCAUCACUUUUCCAAAGCAUGGAUUCCCACUGCAACACCUUUUUGGGGGCAGUCGUGCGGCCUGCGUAUGAGCAUCUUCGUGCGGCCUGUGUAAGAGCAUCUUCAGUGAUGGGGUUCGCUGUCUCCAUGGGAGCUUACCUUAACUGGACAGCUCUGACAGCAGGGAAUGCCUUUCCUUAUAUCAGACCCGACUCUGUCUCCUCUUGGAACACACCCACCUGCUGCGGCACUUUUCCACAUGGGCUCCCUUUCCAUAGGGCUUUAAAUCCAAAGCCUUCUGGAUUUAAAAGAAUGCCUGGACUUUCUUGGUAUGAUUUCAAGCCUACUAGGUCCCUUUCUGGUUUACUAUUCUGCUACUCAAAGGUAGAGAAAGAGGUGAACCCCUUACCUCACCCCAUGUAGGCAUCUACUAUUCUCCAGAAAGGGAGCAUGGAGCUAUGUCCCCUCUUCAGAGCCCAGUGGACCAGAUAGUCCUAGCACCAAGCAUCUCCUCCAGGAAUGUCUGGUUCCCCACAAAAUCUGUUCCCAUUGCUACCAUGUCCACUGUGACUGCUGGGAUUCAUGGUUCUGUUAGAAGAAACUUCCUAUCUCAGUCUUUUCAUCACUGGGCUCUAAGAAAUUAGCAGGCAACUGCUGCAAGGAUUCUAGACCUAUCCCAGGACUAUGCAUAGAUAAGGCUGAAAGUUGAUGCCUGUGUUGCAAGGCCAGAGUGUUAUUCAUGCAUUGGGAGGUGCUCAGAUGUGAUGACCUCCAGGCUUCUUACAGUUCUAGAAGUCUGCGAAUCAUUCCCCUAAGGCACUGGGAAACAACCCAAAUGCCUGGCCCCUGGACAGAGACCUAGAUCUCAUUCAACCUGUCUGCAAAACCUUAAUCAAAUGGCAUCAACUUUUAUGAAAGAGCUGGUCAUUGUAAUGGCAGUAGAUGUUCCUAAAAGCUCUUGCCACCUGGGUACUAGUGAUGUUGUUUGAUAGGGGCUUUGUUGUGGUGAUGGUUAAUUUUAUGUGUGGACUUGACUGGGCUACGGGGUGCUCAGGUAUUUGGUUAAACAUUGUUCUGGGUGUGUCUGUGAGGGUAUUCCUGGAUGAGAUUAACCUUUGAAUAGGUAGAUUGCCCUCCUCAAUGUGGGUGGGCCUCAUUUGAUCCAUUGAAGGUCUGCAUAAAAUAAAAAGGAGAAGUAAAGGAAAAUUCCCUUUUUUGACUGUUUUAGAGCUGGGGCAUUGUUCUUCUUUGGCACUCACACUGGAACUUAUGCCAUCCACUCUCCUGGUACUCUAGGCUUUGGACGUGAACCAGAACUACACCACCAGCUCUCCUGGGUGUCCAGCCUGCAGAUGGCAGAUUGUGGGAUUUCUCAGCCUCCAUAAUCAUGUGAGCCAAUUCCUGAUAAUAAAUCUCUUUAUAUUUAUUAAACAGAACUCUGUUGGUUCUGUUUAUCUGGGGGACCCUGACUAAUGCAGUUGUGCUGCUGGUAGAAUAAGGGUGUUUGGAAAUGAGGGAGAGGUGACAGUAGUAAUAAUUAAUAACUGUCUAUAAUAUGUGUGCCAAACACCUGACUAAACAUUUCGCAGAAGUUACUUUAUUUACAGAGAGCCCAAGCAAGGUCUUCAGCAUUCUGGUCUUGUUUGUUUCUUAUUCUGGAUGCUGGCCAGAGAAGUGUGUUCAUUUUACGAAAAUUCAUUCAACUGAAUACUAGAGACAUUUCUCUAUAUAUUAUCUCAACAACAACAAAAAAUUUUGAAAAAAUUAUGUAACCCUUGCAACCAUUUACAAUGCAGGUGCUGCAAUCCUUAUUUUGCACAUGAUGACAUUGAGGCAUAGAAAGGUUAAGGAACUUGUCCAAAGCCACACAGCUAGGAAUGGCAGUGCUAGGCUUGCAAUUGAGAUCUAUCUGGCUUCAAAGCUGGUGCUGUCUCCAUACCCCACACUGCUCCCCCAGACUGAGAUGCAGGAGGGGUGAUUCCUCAGGCACUCCCUCACCCUCAACUCCCCCAUGCCACACUUUAACACUACACACACACAAAGUCAAUCCUAAACCAGAGGGCCAGGCUAGAGAGAGUGGCAGAGGGAGGGCUGGGUGGCUACCAAGACCAAUAAGUACAACCCUAUUCUCAAAGAAGCUUCCAGUCUGAUGGGGAGGCAGGCAUGGCACAAUAACACAAGACUAUGCUUUCGGGGCAUGGGGACAGUGCCAAGCACCAGCUAGGCAUGAAAUCCAUCAGCCUCCGAGUUUGGGGUACCUGAAGAAGAACUGCUUUCAAAGCUCUCAGGUGGAGUUAGGCCAGAUCUGGGGCUCGGUGUCUUAACUCCUUUCUGCUCAGGGCUGCUGCUGAGGUGGCCAAUGGGCUCUGGAUCCCUGAUGGCAUAGCAGGGUGGUAUGACUGGAUUAAUUAGGUUUUAUUAAUAGCCAAGCACUUCAUGAAUUAUAAUUAAGCAGAUGUGCAUCUGGUGGCAGUAGUGGCUGAGGGUGGGAAGCAGUGGUUCCAGGAGGCUCUGAAGCACUAUUAAGUAUGAAUACCAUGUCACGGGAUAUAGCGAGAACCCAGUCCAGGUGCCUUGUUAAACAGCCUGCCCAAGUGCUCUGGUGUCUGAGAUCUUGAUUUAUUCAAUAAACAUGCCUUGACCCUGCUAGGUAUUGGGUGAGCAGCGAUACUUUCUGAGUGAGACACAAUUGUGGGUGUGGGGCCAGGGGGUAGAACUGGCCAAGUGUUCAGCUCUCUCAAAAAGCAAGGAGGUGAUAAGGGUGCAGUGGGGUACGUACACAAGCCUGGGGGAGCACUCACAUAUGAGGACUGCUUCUUGAAGUAAUGAAUCUCACCCUGCCCCAACUCUCUCUCUCUCUUUCUCUCAUAAUUUGGCCUUUGGAUAUCUUGGGGUCAGGGCAGCCUGAUCUCUGGGGACUAAAAGAGCUAAGCAAGAGGUCUUUUGUACCAAGGGGCUAUAAGGGCUACACUGGCAGGCAGCCAAGGAGGCAAGAGACCCGCACACAGCGCAGCCCAGGAGAUGGAGAAGGCAGGUCGCUCGGCAGAGAGAGGGGCCUGGAACUGAGUGUUUAGACAGGAGAAGGCAUGUUUAGCUUGUGGAAAAACAGAGCGCAGAAUGAUAAAGUGGACGAUGAAAAAAGAGGUCUGAACAAUGAAAUAUUCCACUGUUGCUUGCAGCCCUGACAGCAUGACAGAUGCAGAGGAUAAAUUUUCAUCUGGCCUUUUCUAAACCCAUUCUGAUUUUCCAUUUGGCCACAGAGAAAUAUCCCAGCAUCAAUUUUUGCCUUUUGGAAUUUUAGGAUGUGUUAAAUUUACCUCCAUUCUGCCUCAGAAAUACAUUUUUCUGUGUACUCUGCAACACAGCUCGCAAAAUUAGGCUGAUUAUGGAAUGCUCUAGGCAUCUGCCAUCCUGGGCCUUGUUAAUGCUACCCCUUCAUCCUGAAAUGCCCUUUCACCUUUCCGGGGAUUCAACCUGCUUCACCUACUAAAGUUCACUUCAGGUCCCUUGGAAAAGCUGUCUUCAAAACCACCAGUCAGGAUGAGCUACAGAGUUUCCUCUACUUUCUUGGGCUGUAAAGGGAAAAGCCCAGAGUCAGAGGCCUGGAUUCAAGUCCCAAUUCAGGUCUCCUUGGGCAGCAAGUCACAUAAUGGCUCUCAACCUUGGUUUUCUUAUCUAUAAAAUGGGGAAGAUGAUAGCACCUUCCUCACAGGGUUGUGAAGAUUAAAUGAGAUGAGGCUUGUGAAAUGCUUUAUAAAUGGUAAAGUACAUGUCCACAUAAAAGCCUACAUAGCACUUUGUGCUUUGUGUUAGUUGAUUACUUGACUGUCUCUUUGAUUGGUGCUCAUUACUUGUUAGUCAAAUGGAUAAAGGAAUGAACAAGGCAGAAGAUUAAGAUGAAUGCUUUUUUUUUUGAGAGACAGGGUCUUGCUGUGUUGCCCAGUCUGGAGUGCAGUGGCAUGAUCAUGACUCACUGAAGCCUCGAUCUCCCAGGAUCAAGCAUUUCUCCCACCUCAGCCUCCCAGUACUAC